GAUGGAUGGCCGAGCGGUCGAAGGCGGCGGUCUUGAAAACCGUUGUGGGGCAACUCACCGGGGGUUCGAAUCCCUCUCCAUC
RNAcentral lists this transfer RNA (82 nucleotides) under pig gut metagenome. It matches the Rfam family "tRNA". Rfam says of the family: Transfer RNA (tRNA) molecules are approximately 80 nucleotides in length. Their secondary structure includes four short double-helical elements and three loops (D, anti-codon, and T loops). Further hydrogen bonds mediate the characteristic L-shaped molecular structure. tRNAs have two regions of fundamental functional importance: the anti-codon, which is responsible for specific mRNA codon recognition, and the 3' end, to which the tRNAs corresponding amino acid is attached (by aminoacyl-tRNA synthetases). tRNAs cope with the degeneracy of the genetic code in two manners: having more than one tRNA (with a specific anti-codon) for a particular amino acid; and 'wobble' base-pairing, i.e. permitting non-standard base-pairing at the 3rd anti-codon position. The record is from RNAcentral.